AGAAAGAACGCUGGAACUGCUAAUUCCACAUUUCCACGACUAAUAACGUGGCUUUCUU
This 58-nucleotide transfer RNA is filed under the name Geocapromys ingrahami (Bahamian hutia). RNAcentral describes it as "tRNA-Ser". Lineage: Eukaryota; Metazoa; Chordata; Mammalia; Rodentia; Capromyidae. The record is from RNAcentral.